UACGUAGGUGGCAAGCGUUGUCCGGAAUUAUUGGGCGUAAAGCGCGCGCAGGUGGUUCUUUAAGUCUGAUGUGAAAGCCCACGGCUCAACCGUGGAGGGUCAUUGGAAACUGGGGAACUUGAGUGCAGAAGAGGAAAGUGGAAUUCCAAGUGUAGCGGUGAAAUGCGUAGAGAUUUGGAGGAACACCAGUGGCGAAGGCGACUUUCUGGUCUGUAACUGACACUGAGGCGCGAAAGCGUGGGGAGCAAACGGG
Molecule: ribosomal RNA, 253 nt
Filed under: uncultured bacterium
Lineage: Bacteria
Description: partial 16S ribosomal RNA
Rfam family: Bacterial small subunit ribosomal RNA
Source: RNAcentral